Molecule: ribosomal RNA, 253 nt
Filed under: uncultured bacterium
Lineage: Bacteria
Description: partial 16S ribosomal RNA
Rfam family: Bacterial small subunit ribosomal RNA
Source: RNAcentral
UCCGGAGGGGACUAGCGUUGUUCGGAAUUACUGGGCGUAAAGCGCACGUAGGCGGAUUUGUAAGUCAGGGGUGAAAUCCCGGGGCUCAACCCCGGAACUGCCUUUGAUACUGGUAGUCUCGAGUCCGGAAGAGGUGAGUGGAAUUCCGAGUGUAGAGGUGAAAUUCGUAGAUAUUCGGAGGAACACCAGUGGCGAAGGCGACUUACUGGACAACUGUUGACGCUGAGGUGCGAAAGCGUGGGGAGCAAACAGG